This 522-nucleotide ribosomal RNA is filed under the name uncultured bacterium. RNAcentral's name for it is "bacterial SSU rRNA". It matches the Rfam family "Bacterial small subunit ribosomal RNA", at positions 988 to 1509 of the family's 1533-position model. The record is from RNAcentral.
CCACGGAAUUUAGCAGAGAUGCUUUAGCGCCUUCGGGAACCGUGAGACAGGUGCUGCAUGGCUGUCGUCAGCUCGUGUUGUGAAAUGUUGGGUUAAGUCCCGCAACGAGCGCAACCCUUAUCCUUUGUUGCCAGCGGGUUAUGCCGGGAACUCAAAGGAGACUGCCAGUGAUAAACUGGAGGAAGGUGGGGAUGACGUCAAGUCAUCAUGGCCCUUACGAGUAGGGCUACACACGUGCUACAAUGGCGCAUACAAAGAGAAGCGACCUCGCGAGAGCAAGCGGACCUCAUAAAGUGCGUCGUAGUCCGGAUUGGAGUCUGCAACUCGACUCCAUGAAGUCGGAAUCGCUAGUAAUCGUAGAUCAGAAUGCUACGGUGAAUACGUUCCCGGGCCUUGUACACACCGCCCGUCACACCAUGGGAGUGGGUUGCAAAAGAAGUAGGUAGCUUAACCUUCGGGAGGGCGCUUACCACUUUGUGAUUCAUGACUGGGGUGAAGUCGUAACAAGGUAGGCGUAGUGCU